Molecule: ribosomal RNA, 497 nt
Filed under: uncultured bacterium
Lineage: Bacteria
Description: partial 16S ribosomal RNA
Rfam family: Bacterial small subunit ribosomal RNA
Source: RNAcentral
GAUGAACGCUGGCGGCGUGCCUAAUACAUGCAAGUCGAGCGAACAGACGAGGAGCUUGCUCCUCUGACGUUAGCGGCGGACGGGUGAGUAACACGUGGAUAACCUACCUAUAAGACUGGGAUAACUUCGGGAAACCGGAGCUAAUACCGGAUAAUAUAUUGAACCGCAUGGUUCAAUAGUGAAAGACGGUUUUGCUGUCACUUAUAGAUGGAUCCGCGCCGCAUUAGCUAGUUGGUAAGGUAACGGCUUACCAAGGCAACGAUGCGUAGCCGACCUGAGAGGGUGAUCGGCCACACUGGAACUGAGACACGGUCCAGACUCCUACGAGAGGCAGCAGUAGGGAAUCUUCCGCAAUGGGCGAAAGCUUGACGGAGCAACGCCGCGUGAGUGAUGAAGGUCUUCGGAUCGUAAAACUCUGUUAUUAGGGAAGAACAAAUGUGUAAGUAACUAUGCACGUCUUGACGGUACCUAAUCAGAAAGCCACGGCUAACUACGUG